UACGUAGGUGGCAAGCGUUGUCCGGAUUUACUGGGCGUAAAGAGCGCGCAGGCGGUCGUUCAAGUCGAGUGUGAAAGCCCCCGGCUCAACUGGGGAGGGUCACGCGAUACUGAUCGACUCGAAGGCAGGAGAGGGAAGUGGAAUUCCCGGUGUAGUGGUGAAAUGCGUAGAUAUCGGGAGGAACACCAGUGGCGAAGGCGACUUCCUGGCCUGUUCUUGACGCUGAGGCGCGAAAGCUAGGGGAGCAAACAGG
RNAcentral lists this ribosomal RNA (253 nucleotides) under uncultured bacterium. RNAcentral describes it as "partial 16S ribosomal RNA". It matches the Rfam family "Bacterial small subunit ribosomal RNA", at positions 524 to 776 of the family's 1533-position model. The record is from RNAcentral.